This is a non-coding RNA of Haemonchus placei, 63 nucleotides long. NCBI's taxonomy places the organism in Eukaryota, Metazoa, Nematoda, Chromadorea, Rhabditida, Trichostrongylidae. The record is from Rfam.
GCUCCGGUGGUUCAGUGCUCGUCUGCCACGCGGGCGGCCCGGGUUCAAUUCCCGGCCGAUGCA